UAACCGACUUUCUCUCUCUAAAACAUUUUCUCUCACGCCAUUUUCUCUCUCGUCAUAAACCACCGAGAUUCCCAAAUUUCCCCUAAUUUAUACUGAUUUCAAGCCCUAUUUCUAACGAUUUCUCGCUAAUUCUUCAACAAAUUCGUGAUUUCUUACAAAUUGCUAACCUAGAAAUUCAAUUUUUUGAAUUCGAUCAAAAGUGGAGAUGAAUCAAGGAGAAGAAGCAAUGAAUCCAGCAAAAAAAACUACGAGAGAAGAAAAUUGAGCAAUGAAGAAAUUGAGGGUAAUUGUGUAGGUUGCUUACACUGGGUCUUCAAGGUCCCGAAUGUGUUGUGUGGGCAAGCACACUGUAGUUGAACCACAUCUUGAGCCGUGUUCUUUGGAUUGCAGGGAAUACCUUAAAUUCGGUCCUCAUUGAGAAGGUUAGCUUUAUUGUGUUUUGAGCUGCAGCAUAAGGUGUUAACCAGAUUGGUGUUGGUCUCUGCCUCUCUAGUGGCUGCAGAGCUGCUGUGGCAGGCAAUCAAAUGCCUUCUUUUGGUUUAUCUACAUUCCAAGAAAUUCAUGCGCUCUAUGGACGGAGUCAAAAGUGGAGCUCAAUCCGGGUUCAUUCCCGAAAGGAAUAUUUUUGACAAUGUUAGCCACUGAAUUAUCUGGUCAUUGAAUAAAGACUUUUCAGCAGGUAUGGUAACUUCAAAAGAUUAGCCUACAAUACAUACAUCAAAACAUCACCCACAUUAUCUUGAACAACGCUACAGAGCUUACUUUUCUCAUCUUUAACUACAAUGUUUGUAUUUAACUUGAAGAUGAUUGUCAUGGCUUCCAAACACUUCUUGCAUUAAGUAGCUGACAGGGGCAACAUCUUGUAAGAGGUUUGCGUCGUACUCCCUAGGCAUAGUUGUUUAGGUUUUUUCUUUACUUUUAUUUAUUCUAUUGUAAAACAACU
Molecule: long non-coding RNA, 943 nt
Organism: Spinacia oleracea (spinach)
Lineage: Eukaryota; Viridiplantae; Streptophyta; Magnoliopsida; Caryophyllales; Amaranthaceae
Exons: 3
Source: RefSeq, a predicted model, not a curated record